AUUACAUGAUGGGGACAUUUCCGAAUAAGAUCCUUAAAUCUCUCCAAUGCAUCUGAAACCACUUCAUCCUCAGUUUGUUGAAACAUUAAAAUGUCAUUUCUAAACUU
Cynara cardunculus var. scolymus (artichoke) is the source of this 107-nucleotide small nucleolar RNA. The record is from RefSeq and is a predicted model, not a curated record. Lineage: Eukaryota; Viridiplantae; Streptophyta; Magnoliopsida; Asterales; Asteraceae.